UGUACAGGUGCUGCAUGGCUGUCGUCAGCUCGUGUCGUGAGAUGUUCGGUUAAGUCCGCUAACGAGCGCAACCCUCGCUGUGUGUUACAAGUGUCACACGGAACUGCCGGUCAUAAACCGGAGGAAGUGGGGAUGACGUCAAGUCAGCAUGGCCUUUAUAUCCUGGGCUACACACACGCUACAAUGGGAAGGGACAAUAGGUUGCGAAGCCGCGAGGCGGAGCCAAUCCAGCAAAACUUCCCUCAGUUCAGAUUGCAGGCUGCAACUCGCCUGCAUGAAGUUGGAGUUGCUAGUAAACGCAGGUCAGCCAUACUGCGUUGAAUACGUUCCCGGGGCUU
RNAcentral lists this ribosomal RNA (338 nucleotides) under uncultured Anaerolineaceae bacterium. RNAcentral describes it as "bacterial SSU rRNA". It matches the Rfam family "Bacterial small subunit ribosomal RNA", at positions 1031 to 1382 of the family's 1533-position model. Lineage: Bacteria; Bacillati; Chloroflexota; Anaerolineae; Anaerolineales; Anaerolineaceae. The record is from RNAcentral.